Long non-coding RNA from Fukomys damarensis (Damara mole-rat), 569 nucleotides. RefSeq lists it as uncharacterized. Lineage: Eukaryota; Metazoa; Chordata; Mammalia; Rodentia; Bathyergidae. The transcript is spliced from 3 exons. The record is from RefSeq and is a predicted model, not a curated record.
AGCAGCCCUCCCACAGAAGGGCAUGGCCUGCGGUCGAGGCCAGAUCACAGCUAGCUUUCUCAGCUGAAGCGGUCUCCUUCUCACUGCUGUCAGGUUUUCUCACGUCCCUGGAAGACCCUGAGCACGGAUCUCAACCGUUUCCCCUGCAACAUGUGAUUUUUAAGGAUACCCCAGCCCUGCUGGGACAGCCUAGAAAAGGAAGCCUUUGCCAUUCAGCCGGAAGAAGAAGUGAGAAGUAUCAAAAUAGAGCACACCUUUCAAGAUUAGUUACUUAAGGCUAUUACAGAUGGAAUAUUUGUGUCCCUCUAAACUUCAUAUGUGGAAGCCCAGAUCCCCAGUGUGACGGUAUUUGGAAGUGGACCUUUGAGAGGUGAUAGUUUAGAUGAAGUCACGAGGGUGGAGCCCAUGAUGAAAUUAGUGGCUUCCCAAGAAAAAGAUGAGACUACAGAGUUUCUACCUCUCCCAACUGAGGAUGCAUUUAAAAGGAGGCUAUGUGAUAACCAAGAAGGCCCUCACCAAGACCUGAGUUGGUCUCAACCUUGAUCUUGCACUUCUUAGCUUCCUAAAAC